RNAcentral lists this ribosomal RNA (549 nucleotides) under uncultured bacterium. RNAcentral describes it as "bacterial SSU rRNA". It matches the Rfam family "Bacterial small subunit ribosomal RNA", at positions 355 to 896 of the family's 1533-position model. The record is from RNAcentral.
UGGGGAAUAUUGGACAAUGGGGGGAACCCUGAUCCAGCCAUGCCGCGUGUGUGAAGAAGGCCUUAUGGUUGUAAAGCACUUUAAGCAGUGAAGAAUACAUCAUGGCUAAUAUCCGUGAUGAAUGACAUUAGCUGCAGAAUAAGCACCGGCUAACUCUGUGCCAGCAGCCGCGGUAAUACAGAGGGUGCGAGCGUUAAUCGGAAUUACUGGGCGUAAAGCGAGCGUAGGUGGUUUAUUAAGUCAGAUGUGAAAUCCCUGGGCUUAACCUAGGGACUGCAUCUGAUACUGACAAACUAGAGUAGGUGAGAGGAAAGUAGAAUUCCAGGUGUAGCGGUGAAAUGCGUAGAGAUCUGGAGGAAUACCGAUGGCGAAGGCAGCUUUCUGGCAUCAUACUGACACUGAGGUUCGAAAGCGUGGGUAGCAAACAGGAUUAGAUACCCUGGUAGUCCACGCCGUAAACGAUGUCUACCAGUCGUUGGGUCUUUUAAAGACUUAGUGACGCAGUUAACGCGAUAAGUAGACCGCCUGGGGAGUACGGCCGCAAGGUUA